This 506-nucleotide ribosomal RNA is filed under the name uncultured bacterium. RNAcentral's name for it is "partial 16S ribosomal RNA". It matches the Rfam family "Bacterial small subunit ribosomal RNA", at positions 28 to 523 of the family's 1533-position model. The record is from RNAcentral.
GAUGAACGCUAGCUACAGGCUUAACACAUGCAAGUCGAGGGGUAACAAGAGAAAAGCUUGCUUUUCUUGUUGACAACCGGCGCACGGGUGAGUAACGCGUAUCCAACCUGCCUAUAACUAGGGAAUAACCUUGCGAAAGUAAGACUAAUACCCUAUGAUUUCCUUUGAUGACAUCAGAUUAGGAAUAAAGAUUUAUCGGUUAUAGAUGGGGAUGCGUCUGAUUAGCUUGUUGGCGGGGUAACGGCCCACCAAGGCAACGAUCAGUAGGGGUUCUGAGAGGAAGGUCCCCCACAUUGGAACUGAGACGCGGUCCAAACUCCUACGGGAGGCAGCAGUGAGGAAUAUUGGUCAAUGGGCGGAAGCCUGAACCAGCCAAGUAGCGUGCAGGAUGACGGCCCUAUGGGUUGUAAACUGCUUUUAUACAGGAAUAAAGUUAGCCACGUGUGGUUAUUUGUAGGUACUGUAUGAAUAAGGACCGGCUAAUUCCGUGCCAGCCGCCGCGGUAA